Long non-coding RNA from Paramacrobiotus metropolitanus, 1825 nucleotides. RefSeq lists it as uncharacterized. The transcript has 4 exons. Lineage: Eukaryota; Metazoa; Tardigrada; Eutardigrada; Parachela; Macrobiotidae. The record is from RefSeq and is a predicted model, not a curated record.
GUGAUACUGCUCAAAAAUCUGAAGGAUAUUAUUGCUGCAAGUACACAGUUUGAGUAGCAGGCAUACCAUUGGAACAUACUGAUUUUACCCUUUUAUUAACAGACAGUGCCAGUCUGCUCGGUAGAUGUCGUUUCGAUGCAUGUAGGGAACUUGUACCCGUUUUGAAUCGCUUCACGGCAGCGGUGAUACUACCAGCAGGUAAUAUCGAAUCGCUUCACGGCAGCGGUGAUACUGCCAGCAGGCGCGCUAAAAUAUGUAGCUUUAAGCACUCGCAGGAAUUAUCUGUAUGUGACGCUGUAAGAGGGGUGCAGCAAUACCGGAACCGCUGCGAUUUGCCUGGUUAAUUAAUUCCCGAAUAAAAUGUGCGCUCUGUCAGUGUCAUGGACCUUAAUUCAUUCACACAAAAGCGGGACAGUAUCGCUAGUCGCAGAGAGCGUCACUUUCGGCAAUAUAAAGCGGGACAGCGACAGCGUUGCGCAAUCGAAGUAGCCAAAGCUCCGUGGAGCUAGAAGUCCAACAAAGCCACUAAAUAUGCGCGCUUGAUAAAGGGUAAUAGUAUUCCGGAUAGCAAUCCUUCGCUGUACGCUAAUAAAGUAAAAACUGCAUGAAAGUGCAGCAUCGUCAGUGGGUUACAGUAAGUAUUAAAAAAUAAGUUUCCUAACUUUGACACAUUGAUUACAAUUAAGUACAGUAUUUGCAAGAUGAACAGCAAGUACUGUGUAAUUUAUUUCUUCUAUUCCAAGAUCCCGGCACGUUGUAACAACGUUUACGUUGGCGGCAAUGUGAUACAACACAAUUUUACGGAGCUUGAGGGGCAACAAUUACGGCGAGGAAUUUAUUUCUGGCUUAAUUAGUUUCCGGAUAAACGCACUAUCAGAACCGCUAACUCAUUCACGGAAAAGCGGAAUACUGCCGUUAACGGGAAAGAAGAGAAGGCAUAGCGAUGGUUCAAUGAAAGUGGGCCACCAUCUUCCAUAUGGAGAUAACGGGGCGUGCUAUGGAAACUAGUGUCGGUUGGUACGGUACGCGAAUUUUGUACCUGUGGGUCGGUGAUCCCCUCGCCGCUUCCGGGCACGUGCUGCUGGCCCUCAGCCGCGUCUGGGCGGUGACCUUUCCCAUCUCCUACCGCAAACAUCACACGAAACGCGUGGUCAUUGCUUCCCGUAUCGUCUUGUGUGUAGUUGCGUGUGCAACCCGUCUACCGCAUUUUGUUCUGACCAUCACUGAACGCGCCGGCGCACAAGGGAAAGUGUGCGUGAUCCCAGUGCAAGUAUAUUCCUUGUUUUUCUCUAUUGCUCGAUGCAUCUCCUUAGCCAGUCUGGUCAUCGUGUUUGGGUCGGUGCCAUAUGUGCUUCUCUUGCGGCGAAUUAAAAGGAAAGAGUUAUUGUGUGUUUAACUGCUCCUGAGCCUUCAGGAAUUCGGAAACAUCCCUCAGGCCACAACGGCAGGAACGCCAUUUUCUUAAUCUCAUCAGUAAUCACUCUUGUUAUCUGGGGAUUCUCCUUGAGUGCGGGGUAUUUUUUCUCGAAUUGGCGACUGCUAACUUGAAAAGGCACGAGCUCCAGUCCAAAGAGCAGUCGGUAUCACGGAGGUGCUGCCAAAUUAAAUUAAGCUUUGAGCAGCGUAGAACGGAAGUAGGCCGCGAUGGAUGUCAAUCUGCUCAAUAAUCGCCAAGAAAACAUGUUUUUGGCAAACCGAAAACUUGUUAUUGUAAUUUGUUUUCAGCUACUGAAUUUUUGUAGCAAAUCAUAAUUCAACCUAAAAUUGUAAGUUCGAUUACACGGGCAUAUCAAAUCAGUGCUAUUCAGUCGGCACGCACAUGUGC